CAAUAGCGUAUAUUAAAGUUGUUGCGGUUAAAAAGCUCGUAGUUGGAUUUCUGCCGAGGACGACCGGUCCGCCCUCUGGGUGAGUAUCUGGCUCGACCUGGGCAUCCUUCCAGAGAAUGUGUCUGCUCUUGACUGAGUGGUGCAGUAUCUGGAACUUUUACUUUGAGGAAAUUAGAGUGUUUCAAGCAGGCAUACGCCUUGAAUACAUUAGCAUGGAAUAAUAAGAUAGGACUUUGGUGGUCUAUUUUGUUGGUUUGCACACCAAGGUAAUGAUUAAUAGGGAUAGUUGGGGGUAUUCGUAUUUAAUUGUCAGAGGUGAAAUUCUUGGAUUUAUGAAAGACGAACUACUGCGAAAGCAUUUACCAAAGAUGUUUUCAUUAAUCAAGAACGAAAGUUAGGGGAUCGAAGACGAUUAGAUACCAU
RNAcentral lists this ribosomal RNA (423 nucleotides) under uncultured eukaryote. RNAcentral's name for it is "SSU rRNA". It matches the Rfam family "Eukaryotic small subunit ribosomal RNA", at positions 592 to 1018 of the family's 1831-position model. The record is from RNAcentral.